AUCCAUCUGACGACUUCGAAAUAGGACGAAACACGCGUCCUGGAU
RNAcentral lists this non-coding RNA (45 nucleotides) under Schistosoma mansoni. Lineage: Eukaryota; Metazoa; Platyhelminthes; Trematoda; Strigeidida; Schistosomatidae. The record is from RNAcentral.